AUGACUGAGAGCUGUCCUUCAUGACAACAGAACCCACAACAACCAUGACUUUUAUCACCAUCUUCAUCUGGACACUUGCCCUCUGUCUCCAAGAGUCAAGAGGCCAGGUCACAGUGACCCAGACUCCUGCAGUGAAAGCUGUUUCAGUGGGUCACUCAGUCAGUCUCAGCUGUAAGACCAGCAGUGCUGUACACAUUAACAGCAAUGGACACUAUUUGCACUGGUACCAACAGAAACCUGGAGGAGCUCCUAAACUCCUAAUAUACUGGGCUAAAACCCUUCAGUCUGGGACUCCCCAUCUAGAUUCAGUGGCAGUGGAUCAGGGAGUGACUUCACUCUGACCAUCAGUGGAGUCCAGGCUGAAGAUGCAGGAGAUUACUACUGUCAGAGUUUACACUACCCCAACAGUGUCUGGGUGUUCACACAGUGAUACAGAGCCGUACAAAAACAUCCCUCAGUCAGACUGCACAGUGACUGUACUGAUACAGCUGGGACCUACUGCAGGUGCUGAGGGGGAAGAGACAGUGACAUGGAACACUGAUCAGUAGAAGAGGUCAACUUUGAAAACAGAAAGAAUCAUACGUUCUCCAACAUCGUCUUUAUCAUCGUCAUCAUCAUCGUCAUUAUUAUCAUCAUCAUGGUUAUAACUUGUUAUAUUGGACAUGAACUGAAAGUGUAUAUAAAAGUUCUUUGUAGUUUUGGAAGACAAUACCAGUCCAUAGUAGAGUAAGAUGUACAGAAGUAAGAGGAAAAGUAUCAGCCCCCCAAACCAAUUCCCUACAUGCACUUCACAACCAGUUAUUGAUGUGAUCAUCUAGCAUGUAUUAACUCUUUUCAUGAACUGUUAGAUCUGUGAAUGAGACAUGAUGCUGGGCUCAAACAUGACACAUUGAUGUAGAGACAUACACUACACACUAUUAUCAUAAAGUAUAAUAUCCGUUGUGUCUGUCAUUAAUUACAUGAUGGUAUAUUUGUAAUGUCUCCCUCCCUGAAUCCACCAUAGAGGUUAAAACCAGUCCACUCCCUCACAUCUGGCCCAGUCCAGGGUAUUUCAGGCAGUAAAACAGGUCAACUGGUAGACUGGUAGCUGUGGGAGUGAAACAGAUUUACAUAGACAGGGUUGGGUGGUUCUGCUUGUCCCAGAAUAGAGCAGAACUGUCACCAGAUGUUCACUCUGUCCCCAGGGGGUUGGAGGUAGAGAAGACCAGGGAAAAUGUAAUGGAAAAGCGUAGACCACACAUUGCUAAAACCCAUUGAAAAAACAUCUAAUUUAAUAAAAUCAUAUCAGGAAUUAAUCAUGAUAAAUAUAUGUGUAAUGGAAAGCAACCUUUGAGCGCAGAUAUGUUAUGAGGGCAGAUAUUAGAGGUUUAUUUUUUAUUAUUGGUACAUAAAGUUGGUGGAAUGUGAACAACUCUCUCACUUUGGUGAGAUGUCUGUCCACAGACAUUAUUAAAAGAAACAGCCUGAAAGUC
Oncorhynchus kisutch (coho salmon) is the source of this 1472-nucleotide long non-coding RNA. RefSeq lists it as uncharacterized. The record is from RefSeq and is a predicted model, not a curated record. NCBI's taxonomy places the organism in Eukaryota, Metazoa, Chordata, Actinopteri, Salmoniformes, Salmonidae. The transcript has 2 exons.